This 884-nucleotide ribosomal RNA is filed under the name Bacchisa fortunei. RNAcentral's name for it is "partial large subunit ribosomal RNA". It matches the Rfam family "Eukaryotic large subunit ribosomal RNA", at positions 193 to 785 of the family's 3401-position model. The record is from RNAcentral. Lineage: Eukaryota; Metazoa; Arthropoda; Insecta; Coleoptera; Cerambycidae.
GAACGGGGCCACAGCCCACAGAGGGUGCCAGGCCCGUAGCGACCGCCGCCGAUCGCGGGAGGAUCUCUCCUCAGAGUCGGGUUGCUUGAGAGUGCAGCCCUAAGCGGGUGGUAAACUCCAUCUAAGGCUAAAUACGACCACGAGACCGAUAGCGAACAAGUACCGUGAGGGAAAGUUGAAAAGCACUUUGAAGAGAGAGUUCAAGAGUACGUGAAACCGUUCAGGGGUAAACCUGAGAAACCCGAAAGGUCGAAAGGGGAAAUUCAUUCGCGUUUCGAGCGUGCGUCGGAGCGAGACGAUAAAGUGACGGGCGGCGUACGCGUUCUCCGCGCAUUUCGUCUCGCGAUCCGGCCUCGAACGCGUGCACUUUUCCCCUAGUAGGACGUCGCGAUCCGUCGGGUGUCGGUUUAAGGCUCGCGGUGGAGACCGAGCGCGCGCGCGUACAUCUUCGCGGAUGUUUCGCGCGCGCGUCCGGACCCGCGACGACGACCCGGCCGACCCGCUCGACGGUAUACAGAUGGCGCGGGGCCGCUACCUUAGUUAGCGUUCGGCCCGCGGCAAGCGCGUUCGGAGUUCAGACGGCGUUCGGACCCGGCGCCGAUUCCGUCCCCGAACGACUGUUGGCCGCGGUGUUCUCUGUCUCUCGAACGGACCUCGUUCGUGUAACGCCGAUCUGCGACGCUAUAGCUUUGGGUACUUUCAGGACCCGUCUUGAAACACGGACCAAGGAGUCUAGCAUGUGCGCGAGUCAUUGGGACAUAACUAAACCUAAAGGGCGCAAUGAAAGUGAAGGUCCGCCUCGCGCGGACCGAGGGAGGAUGGGCGGUUAGCGCUUUCGCGCGCGGCCGCUCCGCACUCCCGGGGCGUCUCGUUCUCGUCGCGAG